This 668-nucleotide ribosomal RNA is filed under the name uncultured bacterium. Its description in RNAcentral is "bacterial SSU rRNA". It matches the Rfam family "Bacterial small subunit ribosomal RNA", at positions 76 to 759 of the family's 1533-position model. The record is from RNAcentral.
GAGCUUGCUUCUUCGAUCGAGUGGCGAACGGGUGAGUAACGCGUGAGGAACCUGCCUCAAAGAGGGGGACAACAGUUGGAAACGACUGCUAAUACCGCAUAAGCCCACGGGUCGGCAUCGACCAGAGGGAAAAGGAGCAAUCCGCUUUGAGAUGGCCUCGCGUCCGAUUAGCUAGUUGGUGAGGUAAUGGCCCACCAAGGCGACGAUCGGUAGCCGGACUGAGAGGUUGAACGGCCACAUUGGGACUGAGACACGGCCCAGACUCCUACGGGAGGCAGCAGUGGGGAAUAUUGCACAAUGGGGGAAACCCUGAUGCAGCGACGCCGCGUGGAGGAAGAAGGUCUUCGGAUUGUAAACUCCUGUUGUUGAGGAAGAGAAUGACGGUACUCAACAAGGAAGUGACGGCUAACUACGUGCCAGCAGCCGCGGUAAAACGUAUGUCACAAGCGUUGUCCGGAAUUACUGGGUGUAAAGGGAGCGCAGCGGGAAGACAAGUUAGAAGUGAAAUCCAUGGGCUCAACCCAUGAACUGCUUUCAAAACUGUUUCUCUUGAGUAGUGCAGAGGUAGGCGGAAUUCCCCGGUGUAGCGGUGGAAUGCGUAGAUAUCGGGAGGAACACCAGUGGCGAAGGCGGCCUACUGGGCACCAACUGACGCUGAGGCUCGAAAG